Long non-coding RNA from Episyrphus balteatus (marmalade hoverfly), 3465 nucleotides. RefSeq lists it as uncharacterized. The record is from RefSeq and is a predicted model, not a curated record. Lineage: Eukaryota; Metazoa; Arthropoda; Insecta; Diptera; Syrphidae. The transcript has 3 exons.
CUUUCAAUUCCAAUACCUCAGCGUCAGCAUCGUCGUCGUCGACGAAAUAUAGUCGUUUUGUCGUCGUACCUACUUGUAGUCGCUGGUUUGCGCUUCAAAUCAAACACAGAAGAAAAAAAAAAACACAAGAAAUGUUUCCCAAGUAUAUUUUUGAGUGCUUUUGUGAAAUCAGUCGACGACGGGCAUUCAAACUCACUUGCCACAGAGUUCUCCUUUUCUUUUCCGCAAUUCCGAUUCAACAAGAAAAAGAAAAAUAAUAUUAAAUGAAAAAAAUAAAACCACAAACGAGAAGAACAAAAAAAAAAAAUACUUCGUGUGUGCAUCUUAAAAAUAUAAAUGCCUUUUUUAUGUGUACAUAAAAAUACAUGAAAAAGUUUAUAUAAUUAUACAAGAAGAAAUAAUCAUAUCAUUCUCUCAUCGGGAGAGAGCAAAGCGAUUGAGUUUACGCUGCUGCGGCAAAAGAGAACCAUACCAAAUGAAUAGAGGUGCUGCUUGCUGCUCAUGUUGAUACCGAAAUAUAUAUAUUUUUUUUUUUUUUUUUUUUUGGAAACGUUAUCGAUGUCUCUUCUCGGAGGUUUGCUUUCGGUCGGUUGAAUAAAAAUGGUACAACAACGAACGCCCGCUCUACAUGAAUAUAAAUUUUUUUUUCUAAAUGCCACAAGGUUCCUCUCUCAUAGUGGGUGCGAUAUUUGAACGUUUGUUGAAAAAAAUGCGUUUCGAGAAUUGUCGAGGUUAUAAAAAAUAUUGAACAACAACAAUCUUAAGAAAAUAUGAAGCAAUAGAAUCAGGCACUUUUCUGGUAGUACCUUAGCCAUUGGUUGAUGUGUUGAUUUGGUGUGGAUUUGCGAUUGCGAUGGGUUAGCUUUUGGUGCCACCAUCACCACCACCGUCACCGCUACCACCGCUGUCGUCGCCGUGUCGUGUACAAGAUCGUGCUGUUUAUCUCGUUUGGUUUUUUUUUUUUUGAGAGUUCGCGCGUUGAAAACAGGAAUAUGGUAUAAAUCGUUCGUAACCUGAUUUUAUAAUCAACUCCACAAGAGCGAUAUACAAGAGCUAAAAGAAAACGGAAACACUCUACGUACGAGAACGAAAUAAUGAAACACAAAAAAAAAAUGUCGAUUGUUUGCCGGACGAUUGAUGGUCAAACUCGUGCGCAACACAAAAUAUGACGUCGGUGUUAGUCGAAGAUUAUGAAGAGGGAAAGGAAGGUAGAAAAAAUCUUUUUUGUUGUUUUUGGGUCGACGUUGUCAUCGUCGUCGUUGUCGUCAGUGGUAGAACCGCUGUUGCUUUCCGUUCACAGACAUUCUUUGAGUAUUGAUUUUAUUUUGAAUUUGAAUCUGAAUCAUUUUUGGAUGUUGAUUUGGUAUUAAAAAUAAAUUUUUAUUCGUUUCCCUCUCUUCCUGGCUCUUGAAUGAAUUUUUUUCAAACUUCUGCCAUGCAUAACUGCUUUCUGGUUAAAAAAAAAAGAAAAGAAAUCAUCAAUUUUUUUUUAAACAGCUCAAAGUGAAAUGAAGAAUGAGCAGGCAGUCUAUGCUACAGCAAAUAACGAAAUCAUUUGCCUCUUUAACUUGUUUUUCAAGUUUUUUUUUUUUUUUUUUUCAUUUUUGUUUCUUGGUAGUAUCUUUUUUAAGACAAACCGAAAAGGGGCACAACCAAUACAUUGCUUUGCUUUGACUGCAGUCAGUCAAUACAACAAAAACACCAAUUUUGGUGUUUUUGUAUCUCCUCCAUAUUGAGAUUGAAUGAUGGGGUUAGUGAGUCUUAUGAACUCUCAAAUGCCCGUGUAAUUACUUUAAAAUGAGUACUCCUCAUGGGAAUUAUCGUUUCUAUAGUUUCGAUAUAUGACUUUGUCAAUUGGAAUGUACAUGUGGUUCUUUUUCGAUUGUAUGCCCAAAAACAACAAAACUCUUGAGUCAUAUCUAUUUGGUCAUAGUUGAGAACUUCACGUCAUUAAAUAUCCAUUCAAAGAUAACUGAUUUUUUUUUUUCUAUCCCAAAAUCCAUAAAAGUCCCAAACGGUUAAACCGAAAUUGCAAAUAAAAAAAUUAAAUAAAAUAUAAAAACAUCCGCGCGGAGGCACGAUAAAAAUUAUGAAUCAUCCAACACAAUACAAUAGAAUUUGUUUCUAUACUACCUAUUUUUAAAAUAAAUUCUCAUUCCGAUGGUGACAUCGUGCUGUGAGAUGUUUGUAUUUUGACGAUAUGAUGUGACGAAGUGGAUGAAUGAUAGAGAAUCAGAACCAUCAGAAAGGAAAGGAGAAGCAUCAAAUUCGUUAGAGAACAAAACACACGGCACGGCGCAAAAGUAUUGCAUUGGUUGAAGGAAAAAUCAUUGGAAACGAUGGCAGACAGUCUUUAAUUUUUGUGAAGUAUAGAAAUCACGAAGAAAAUGCAAGUAAACUCAGCGAGAGGGCUGAUAAAAUGGGAUCGACCAAAUAUUUACCAAAUCGACGACGAUUGAAUACGACGACACACGGUGGUGCAAGUGUGCGAUGAAAACGUAGAUAAAUAGUUGAAAAUUUUAAUACAAAUACACAGCACUAAACGUAUAGCAGUGUUGCCGAAGUUGAAUCUGGUACCUAUUUUCCAGCGGAAUUGCAUACCUAUCACAUUUGGGAAAUUUUGGUAAAGUGAAAGGAAAAACUUUGCAGGAAUAUGUAUUGAUGGGAAUUUGACUUUUUCUGUAAGAUAACUUCAAUUUUUUUUUGUAAGAAAACUUUCUCAUCUAAUCUAAUGUAAUCUAAUGCUGAUGCGAGAUGAAAAAUCAGAUGCAAAAAUUUUAGUAGAUACGGAAAAUUUCGUUUUGCUUUUUGUUUUUCAGUACGCAGCUCUAGCGAAAAAUUGGAGAGUUUUCACUCUUUUGUCACUUACUUUUUACCGUCCAGAAGGGUUCCCAGGUUGAGGGGAAAAUCACCAUUUUUGCCGAUUUUUUUAAACGAAAAGGAUAAAAUAGGGGACGGGGAUAAAAAAGGGGAAAAAAUAUCUAAAAGGGGAAAAAUCUAAGCUUACAAAAAUAUUAAACACAAUCUUUAAACAAUGGAAUCUAUUUAAAUAAAACUCAAUUUCGAAAUAACCUAUCGUAUUCCACGCUAAGUGGAUUUUGAAUUCCUCAGCACUAUUAAAGAAUAGGGUGCUUUAAUUUUGUAUUCACUCCUCAAAAUACUUAAUACAUACAUAUUACAUUAAUUACAUUUAAUUUUUUCGAGUAUAUCAAACAGAUUUGAGCCUGCUGCGCGACGGCAGCCCAAAAAAGACUAAUAAAUUGUUACGACACAUAUCGUGGUUGAAGAAGCCUGCCUUUUACUGUAUGUUUCCACUUACCGUAAAUCCGAGAUUUAGCUAAGUAGAUUUAGAACAAAUCCCGAGAUUUAUUUUAAAUCUACUUAGCUAUCUCGUAUUUACGGUAGGAUUUUUCCUCAAAAUAAGAUUUAUAUGUACCAAAAAUAUAAAUUUUUUUUUAUGAUUAA